UUUUAAGGGUCGUGGGAGAUGACCACGUUGAUAGGUUACAGGUGUAAAGGUGGUAACAUCAUAGCCGAGUAAUACUAAUCACCCGUAGACUUUUCGCG
This 98-nucleotide ribosomal RNA is filed under the name Capnocytophaga genosp. AHN8471. RNAcentral's name for it is "partial 23S ribosomal RNA". It matches the Rfam family "Bacterial large subunit ribosomal RNA", at positions 2826 to 2925 of the family's 2925-position model. The record is from RNAcentral. Lineage: Bacteria; Pseudomonadati; Bacteroidota; Flavobacteriia; Flavobacteriales; Flavobacteriaceae.